AGUAAUACAUCGGAACGUGCCCUGUAGUGGGGGAGUAACUAGUCGAAAGAUUAGCUAAUACCGCAUACGACCUGAGGUGAAAGUGGAGGACCGCAAGGCCUCAUGCUAUAGGAGCGGCCGAUGUCUGAUUAGCUAGUUGGUGGGGUAAAGGCCUACCAAGGCGACGAUCAGUAGCUGGUCUGAGAGGACGAUCAGCCACACUGGGACUGAGACACGGCCCAGACUCCUACGGGAGGCAGCAGGG
RNAcentral lists this ribosomal RNA (244 nucleotides) under uncultured Ralstonia sp. RNAcentral's name for it is "partial 16S ribosomal RNA". It matches the Rfam family "Bacterial small subunit ribosomal RNA", at positions 109 to 354 of the family's 1533-position model. The record is from RNAcentral. Lineage: Bacteria; Pseudomonadati; Pseudomonadota; Betaproteobacteria; Burkholderiales; Burkholderiaceae.